Molecule: transfer RNA, 73 nt
Filed under: Dreissena polymorpha
Lineage: Eukaryota; Metazoa; Mollusca; Bivalvia; Myida; Dreissenidae
Rfam family: tRNA
About the family: Transfer RNA (tRNA) molecules are approximately 80 nucleotides in length. Their secondary structure includes four short double-helical elements and three loops (D, anti-codon, and T loops). Further hydrogen bonds mediate the characteristic L-shaped molecular structure. tRNAs have two regions of fundamental functional importance: the anti-codon, which is responsible for specific mRNA codon recognition, and the 3' end, to which the tRNAs corresponding amino acid is attached (by aminoacyl-tRNA synthetases). tRNAs cope with the degeneracy of the genetic code in two manners: having more than one tRNA (with a specific anti-codon) for a particular amino acid; and 'wobble' base-pairing, i.e. permitting non-standard base-pairing at the 3rd anti-codon position.
Source: Rfam by way of RNAcentral
GCCUCCGUAGCUCAGUGGGUAAGGCGCUCGCGUUCAAAUCCAGAGGACCCGGGUUCGAUCCCCGGUCGGGGCA